This is a non-coding RNA of Biomphalaria pfeifferi, 246 nucleotides long. The record is from the annotation of a GenBank genome assembly. Lineage: Eukaryota; Metazoa; Mollusca; Gastropoda; Planorbidae.
GCUCUAACUAAAGGAGUGCUUGAACACUGAUUAUUUAGGAAAUCCAGAUUAGAGCAGCGAAACAAAAUCCAAUAUUUAGUGAAUGUACAAUGUUAGCGUAGAACAACAAGGAAAUAGCUAAAAAUCUGUUUCACCAGUAGAGAUAAAAUAUAAUGCUAAAUAAAUAUAAUGCUAAUGUUAAAAGGUUUCAGAUAAAAUACAAAAAAUAUUUGAAAUAAAAAUGCAAAACCUAUAUAUAGAUUAUCU